RNAcentral lists this ribosomal RNA (460 nucleotides) under uncultured bacterium. Its description in RNAcentral is "partial 16S ribosomal RNA". It matches the Rfam family "Bacterial small subunit ribosomal RNA", at positions 338 to 795 of the family's 1533-position model. The record is from RNAcentral.
CCUACGGGUGGCAGCAGUGAGGGAUAUUGGUCAAUGGACGAGAGUCUGAACCAGCGAAGUAGCGUGAAGGAUGACGGCCCUAUGGGUUGUAAACUUCGUUUGUAUGGGAAUAAAAUGUUCCACGUGUAGGAUUUUGUCUGUACCAUUUGAAUAAGGAUCGGCUAACUCCGUGCCAGCAGCCGCGGUAAUACGGAGGAUCCGAGCGUUAUCCGGAUUUAUUGGGUUUAAAGGGAGCGCAGGUGGAUUGUUAAGUCAGUUGUGAAAGUUUGCGGCUCAACCGUAAAAUUGCAGUUGAAACUGGGAGGCUUGAGUACAGUAGAGGUAGGCGGAAUUCGUGGUGUAGCGGUGAAAUGCUUAGAUAUCACGAAGAACUCCGAUUGCGAAGGCAGCUCACUGGACUGCAACUGACACUGAGGCCCGAAAGUGUGGGGAUCAAACAGGAUUAGAUACCCGAGUAGUC